UCAGAACCUCGUGAGACAGUUCGGUCUCUAUCUACAGUGGGCGUAAGAAAUUUGAGUGGAUCUGACUCUAGUACGAGAGGACCGAGUUGGACUGACCGCUGGUGUACCUGUUGUUUCGCCAGAAGCAUUGCAGGGUAGCUAUGUCGGGAAGGGAUAAGCGCUGAAAGCAUAUAAGCGCGAAACCCACCACAAGAUGAGAUUUCUUUAAAGGGUCGUGGGAGACUACCACGUUGAUAGGCUAUAGGUGUAAAGGCAGUAAUGUCAUAGC
This 268-nucleotide ribosomal RNA is filed under the name Chaetoceros curvisetus. RNAcentral describes it as "partial Bacterial large subunit ribosomal RNA". It matches the Rfam family "Bacterial large subunit ribosomal RNA", at positions 2611 to 2891 of the family's 2925-position model. Lineage: Eukaryota; Bacillariophyta; Thalassiosirophyceae; Chaetocerotales; Chaetocerotaceae. The record is from RNAcentral.